UACGUAGGUGGCGAGCGUUGUCCGGAUUUACUGGGCGUAAAGAGCGCGCAGGCGGCUGGUCAAGUCCGAUGUGAAAGCUCCCGGCUUAACUGGGAAAUUGCAUCGGAAACUGAUCGGCUGGAAGGUGGGAGAGGGUAGCGGAAUUCCCGGUGUAGUGGUGAAAUGCGUAGAUAUCGGGAGGAACACCAGUGGCGAAAGCGGCUACCUGGCCCACAACUGACGCUGAGGCGCGAAAGCUAGGUGAGCAAACAGG
This 253-nucleotide ribosomal RNA is filed under the name uncultured bacterium. RNAcentral describes it as "partial 16S ribosomal RNA". It matches the Rfam family "Bacterial small subunit ribosomal RNA", at positions 524 to 776 of the family's 1533-position model. The record is from RNAcentral.